Molecule: ribosomal RNA, 630 nt
Filed under: uncultured archaeon
Lineage: Archaea
Description: partial 16S ribosomal RNA
Rfam family: Archaeal small subunit ribosomal RNA
Source: RNAcentral
CGAUAACUCAUAUAUCACAAGCGCAGAGAAAGGGGAGGUAAGGUUACCGGGGAUCGCUAGGGCUAAUUCUUUUAGCUGUUUAAGUGUGAAGCUAGCCCUAGGAGAAGGGAGAGGGCAAGGCUGGUCCAGCCGCCGCGGAUAACCAGUUCUUCAAGUGUCGGGAUUCUUUAUUGGGUUUAAAUUGUCCUUACCCGGUUGGGUAAUUCCCUGGUAAUUUUGCCAGCUUAACUGAAAGAAGAAUAAGAAUAUUUUCUUACUAGAGGACGGGAAAGGUCGGAGGUAUUCCAGGGGUAGCGGUGAAAUGGGAAAAUCCUUGGGGGACCACAGGGGGCGAGGGGGGCAGAUUGAACCGUGGCUGAGGGUGAUGGACGACAGCAGGGGAGCAAAAGGAAUUAGAACCCGGGUAGUCCGGGGGGGAAACAAUCCGUGUUAGGUGUUGGAAAGGUUGUAAGCCCUUUCAGUGCCGUGGAAAACUGUUAAGCGCCCAGACGGGAAGGGAGGCUGGGAAGGGGGAAAUUUAUAGGAAUUGGCGGCCAAAGGCCAAAUUCUUUUAAAUUUGCAGAAUUAGUCCCUUUAGGGAGGUUUUUUUCUGAGCUUGGAAAAUCUGGGCCAUACUUUUUUCCUGAAAUU